RNAcentral lists this long non-coding RNA (730 nucleotides) under Phoenix dactylifera (date palm). Its description in RNAcentral is "long non-coding RNA (PDAC_LNC002432)". Lineage: Eukaryota; Viridiplantae; Streptophyta; Magnoliopsida; Arecales; Arecaceae. The record is from RNAcentral.
AUUACUCAAGAUGAUCAUUCACUGAAUAUAAUACCUCGGAUUUUUUUUUCUUUUGCCAACAACUGAGCUUGAUGGCAAUACACAUACGACUAUUGACACUUAAUAUUUAAUCCUUCCUAGAAGUCUCAAAAACAACUUCCAACUGCAACAUUCUUCAAAUUAAACGCGUCAAAUAAGUAACAAUGAUGACGACAAAUAUGAUGCUUAGAUCCAUCGAUCAUUUGCUGCGCUCCCACAAUUAUUUUCAGAAAAGAAAAAGGAAAAGCAAAAAGGAGGAGAAAAAAAACCCAAUAGCAGCAACAACAUACAAAAAGAAGCUCUAAAACAUACUAUACCGCAGUGCCCCAUGGACAUGUCCGGAGGGGGCCCUGCUGGCUUACGGUGGGGUAGGAAUAUGGAUCUUGGGAGCAGGAACAAGGCGUUUGUAUGGUUCAGGGCACCUCUUGUUUGCGUCCAGUGGGUUCCGCGUGCAGCCACCAGCUCGAGCUGGUCCUCGAUAUGGUGGAAAGCGUUCCAGAUGCCUUGCACCGGAGACGGGUUGGGAGCUCAAAAGCCACACGAUGGAAGUGAUGGAGAUUGCAACCAGUAGAAGGCCUCUCCGAGAAGAACCCAUGGUUGGUCUGAUCUGAUCUUUCUUUCUCCUUCUCUUUGCUUCACCGAACAAUGCUCAUGCAUAUGAAGGUAAGGUUUGGACCAGACUGCGUUGGAAAAAGUCGAGACUGAGAACGGC